ACACCNCCNCCGUCAAGCCAUGGAAGCUGGGUGUACCUAAAGUCGGUAACCGCAAGGAGCCGCCUAGGGUAAAACUAGUAACUGGGGCU
This 89-nucleotide ribosomal RNA is filed under the name uncultured bacterium. RNAcentral describes it as "partial 16S ribosomal RNA". The record is from RNAcentral.